GGGCCUGUAGUUUAGUGGCUAUAACGUCGCUUUCACAGAGCGAAGGUCGAGGGUUCGAGUCCCUCCGGGCCCA
Molecule: transfer RNA, 73 nt
Filed under: Candidatus Woesearchaeota archaeon
Lineage: Archaea; Nanobdellati; Candidatus Woesearchaeota
Description: tRNA-Val
Rfam family: tRNA
About the family: Transfer RNA (tRNA) molecules are approximately 80 nucleotides in length. Their secondary structure includes four short double-helical elements and three loops (D, anti-codon, and T loops). Further hydrogen bonds mediate the characteristic L-shaped molecular structure. tRNAs have two regions of fundamental functional importance: the anti-codon, which is responsible for specific mRNA codon recognition, and the 3' end, to which the tRNAs corresponding amino acid is attached (by aminoacyl-tRNA synthetases). tRNAs cope with the degeneracy of the genetic code in two manners: having more than one tRNA (with a specific anti-codon) for a particular amino acid; and 'wobble' base-pairing, i.e. permitting non-standard base-pairing at the 3rd anti-codon position.
Source: RNAcentral